CCCUAUUCUCAAAUGCCCUUAUUCUCAAAUACCCCUAAUCUCAAAUGCCCUUAUUCUCAAAUGCCCCUAAUCUCAAAUACUCUUAUUCUCUAAUGCUCCUAAUCUCAUAUAUCCCUUUAAUCUCAAAUACCCUUUAUUUUCAAAUACCCCUAAACCCUAACCUGAAAUGCCCAUAAUCUCAAAUACCCUUAUUCUCAAAUAUCCUUAUUCUCAAAUACCCAUAAUCUAAAAUACCCCUAUUCUCAAAUGCCGCUAAUCUCAAAUACCCCUUUCAUCUCAAACACCCUUUAUUCUCAUAUACCCUUUAUCCUCAUAUACCCCUAAACCUAAAUCCUAAUCUCAAAUGCUCCUAAUCUCAAAUACCCUUAUUCUCAUAUACCCUAUAUUCUCAUAUACCCCUUAAAUCUCAAUUACCUUUUAUUCUAAUAUACCCUUUAUUCUCAUAUACCUCUAAUCUCAAAAUACAAAAUAUACCAACCUGGGUAUG
Molecule: long non-coding RNA, 487 nt
Filed under: Brassica rapa (field mustard)
Lineage: Eukaryota; Viridiplantae; Streptophyta; Magnoliopsida; Brassicales; Brassicaceae
Description: long non-coding RNA (BRAP_LNC003168)
Source: RNAcentral